UCAAUUCGAGUUUAGAGCGCAGAUAGAUGCCUGACAGCACGAGACAAACCAGCUAGCACGAGACAAAGUAGCCGUUUCAUUGCACUGUUGUGAGCAACCGUGAUAUCUGGCUGGAUACCGAUAAGACACCGGACUUUGAGUUUGGAUUUAAAAUGGGGUUUUGAUGAGCAUCGAUUCCAGAAAAGGUCUCUGAAGUUGUGAGAGGAUAAUAAGCAAGCAAGCAAGAUGAGCUGGGCC
This is a long non-coding RNA of Engraulis encrasicolus (European anchovy), 237 nucleotides long. RefSeq lists it as uncharacterized. The transcript has 3 exons. The record is from RefSeq and is a predicted model, not a curated record. Lineage: Eukaryota; Metazoa; Chordata; Actinopteri; Clupeiformes; Engraulidae.